UACACUCCUACGGGAGGCAGCAGUGGGGAAUUUUGGACAAUGGGGGCAACCCUGAUCCAGCAAUGCCGCGUGAGUGAAGAAGGCCUUCGGGUUGUAAAGCUCUUUUGUCAGGGAAGAAACGGUGGUGGCGAAUAACUACUACUAAUGACGGUACCUGAAGAAUAAGCACCGGCUAACUACGUGCCAGCAGCCGCGGUAAUACGUAGGGUGCAAGCGUUAAUCGGAAUUACUGGGCGUAAAGCGUGCGCAGGCGGUUGUGUAAGUCAGAUGUGAAAUCCCCGGGCUCAACCUGGGAAUUGCAUUUGAGACUGCACGGCUAGAGUGUGUCAGAGGGGGGUAGAAUUCCACGUGUAGCAGUGAAAUGCGUAGAUAUGUGGAGGAAUACCGAUGGCGAAGGCAGCCCCCUGGGAUAACACUGACGCUCAUGCACGAAAGCGUGGGGAGCAAACAGGAUUAGAUACCCCAGUAGUCCCAUG
Molecule: ribosomal RNA, 476 nt
Filed under: uncultured organism
Description: partial 16S ribosomal RNA
Rfam family: Bacterial small subunit ribosomal RNA
Source: RNAcentral